Molecule: long non-coding RNA, 637 nt
Organism: Pocillopora damicornis (cauliflower coral)
Lineage: Eukaryota; Metazoa; Cnidaria; Anthozoa; Scleractinia; Pocilloporidae
Source: RefSeq, a predicted model, not a curated record
CCUCCAUCGAAGCAAGCAAGGGUUCUGUUCGGGAUUAUGUGGGAUCACUUGUCAUCGAAAUGAAGGAGUGAAACAGAAGUUGAACUCUUCACAACAGAGAUUAGACAGAGCUAGUCAAGAGUUAUCUCUUGAUCCGGAGGCCAACUGCACAGGGUUGCAGCGAUUUUAAGUUUAGGGAAAAUCUGUGCCUUGAGUCAAAGUUCAGUCAACAUAUGGCUGAUGAAGAGCAUACCUAAAUUGCAGUCAAAAACAUUUCAUCGCUGAAACGUUCACCGACAGAUGGGAGUACUCGCUGUAAACUUCACCAGUUGAGGAUGAUCUAUCCCAAAUUGCAGAUUUUCAUCAGACUUCCCCUUGAAACCUCCAACAACGAGAAGAAAUACCACUCUGUCGAUAGUUGUGUCUGUUAUCGUAUUGCGUUUCUGAUAAGAUACUCGUUUGGCUGUUUAUCUACAGUCAACGCUGCUUGUAGAAUAAAAUUUCAAUUUUCUCUGCUAGCAAUAUAGCCGAGGUCAAGUGCUAUCCACACUUUUAUCAUCGGCAGCCUUUGGCGGAUGUUAUUAACCAGCUUGGGCAAUUCUUGCCAAAUUUUUUGGUCGGAGUUUAAAGAAUACACGUUAAGAUAAACGCACGGAAA